Molecule: ribosomal RNA, 251 nt
Filed under: uncultured bacterium
Lineage: Bacteria
Description: partial 16S ribosomal RNA
Rfam family: Bacterial small subunit ribosomal RNA
Source: RNAcentral
ACGGAGGGUGCAAGCGUUGUCCGGAAUCAUUGGGCGUAAAGAGUUCGUAGGUGGCAUGUUAAGUCUGGUGUUAAAGCCCGAAGCUCAACUUCGGUUCGGCACUGGAUACUGGCAAGCUUGAAUGCGGUAGAGGUAAAGGGAAUUCCUGGUGUAGCGGUGAAAUGCGUAGAUAUCAGGAGGAACAUCGGUGGCGUAAGCGCUUUACUGGGCCGUAAUUGACACUGAGGAACGAAAGCCGGGGUAGCAAAUGG